CUUAAAAGUAAUUAAUUGAUAGCAUUGACAUUCACCAUUUCGUUUCAGGUUUUCCAGUGUGGGCUAGGGAAGCUCUCUAGAAGUUCUUUGGAGGUUUGCAUCCCACUCUCUUUGCUGUGUGAUUCAAGAGGAAUUCACUGACCUCCAAAUAAACACCAUUUUAGGAUGAGAAGCUUCUGAGAUUUGGGAAUCUACAGACAAUUUGGAAGCUUGUCAGGAUUAUUCUGCAAAGUCAACCAAAAGAGGAGGGCUGGAGUUCACAGAUUAUUAGCACCGAAUGUUGGAUUCAGAGGUUAUUAGCCACGUAUGGCAAAUGGAGUUCCUUUUCUGUGAGGAAACUGUUCCAAGGAGAUUGUGAUUGUCUAGUUUCAUAUUGAUGAUGUAUCAAAGUCAGGAUUGGAUCCUCUGUUCUCUGGUCUAAGAGCUUUUGUUCAUUCCACCAUUUUAGUGAUGAUAAGAUACAUGGAUGAAUAAUUCC
RNAcentral lists this long non-coding RNA (478 nucleotides) under Monodelphis domestica (gray short-tailed opossum). Its description in RNAcentral is "lncRNA (ENSMODG00000040716.1)". Lineage: Eukaryota; Metazoa; Chordata; Mammalia; Didelphimorphia; Didelphidae. The record is from RNAcentral.